Molecule: long non-coding RNA, 1908 nt
Organism: Prionailurus viverrinus (fishing cat)
Lineage: Eukaryota; Metazoa; Chordata; Mammalia; Carnivora; Felidae
Exons: 3
Source: RefSeq, a predicted model, not a curated record
GCCGAUGAUGCCGAAGAUGAAGAAGACGAAGAAGCAGAGCAGGAGGACAUUCCCCAGCAUGGGCAGCGUGUCCAGGAGCAGGUUCACCAGGAUCCGCAUACCUAGGUUGCCAGCUGGGCAGACUUAAGGCCGGAGCUGCUGGGCCCAUCUUGCCUCAGCAGGGCAGCACCCACCUACAAUUGAAGCCAGCCCAGGAAAAACAGAGCCCAGGACACAACAGGGACAAUUCUUGACAACAGCCUGGAAGGACUGCAGGAGGUGAACCUUAUGAAAUUGCUGUAAAAUGUGCAGUCAAGUAAUUAGCUAAGGCACGUCGUCGGAUGGUUCCUCUCUGCCCUCAGUUCCCCCGGCACUGGGCUCAGAAGGUGGAGGCAGAGAGGAGAGGCAGAGAAAGAAAUGGAGACAGAGGACAGAGAUGGAGACAAAGACCAAGAAAGGCAAAGACAGAGAUGUCUGCCUCAGACCAUCCUUCCUACUCAAGUCGAAGCACACCUAUCCCCAGCCCAGCCCUCCUCCAGGCGGUCUCUGAUUUCCACCCCACACCAGUGAAGCCUUCCUGCCUCCAGUUCCCCCAGAUGUUCACUCACCAUCGCUCAAGAUGAACUUAUCUGGUUUUGCUUUCUUAGUGUGAUGCCUCGGGCCUUCAGCCUGGGGUAGAGGCCAGGACCAGACUCCCUGGCAACCCCAUGAGUGUGGCUGAAGGCCCUGCUUCCCCGGGCGAGAGGGGAAAGAGGACCCCAGAGUCCCCAGGACAUCCAGUGCUUUGGUGAGUGCCCAGAGCACCAGCCCAGGACGGGACGCCUGGGUGCCACUCCUGGUGGGGCAGCCCUGAGGCCGGCCUUGCCCCCGCGGGGCCCCAGUGGCCUCAUCUACAGAAGACAGUGGUUCCCAUCCGGUCAGCCUCUCGAGGCUGGGACAGGACCUCAGAGGAGGAGCCCCCAGAGCCAGAAGCUGCCAGCAGUCCUUCCACCCCCAUGGGGAAGGUACAAAUUCUUAGCCCAUCCCCAAGCCCCUACGCACAGGCCCCAGCCUGUCUCCCCAGCCGCACCUCCCUCUGCUCACCACCCCACAUCUAACCCUGCGGCUCCAGCCGGACUGGCAGACGCCCCCAGCAUCCCUACUCUUCACCCUCACACACACACACUGCCCCCACCGACAGCACCCUCCCCCAUCACCACCUCCAGGAUUCCUAUUACUAGUACCCUGUUGGGCGGGGGGGUGCAAUGCUAGGUCCACUCCCCAGGACAGCAGCACCCCAUGCCGGUGUGGCCUAGCCAGGCUGACCCCCUUCCAGCCCCCCGGAAAGCCCUCACACACACUCACAAGGUCAUCUCCCCUCCUUUCUUAGACCUCAGCUGACUGGUCCUCUUUUCUGGCCCCUGGGCUGGGCUGGUAGCCCUGCAGUGAGCUGCCCACUGCCCUGCCCUCCCUCCAUCGCAGCACUUAUUACGCUGUCGGCCUUCGUCAGGUCAUGGCUCUGCCCAAACUGACCGCAUCCUAAGCAGGAGGCCCAGAAGGGGUGUUCCGCAUCCUCCGAUCUAGCCCGGGGCCUGGCAGAGUGGCCCCCGAGGAUGGCCACGAAGGAGUGGCAGAUGGGUGGAUGGAUCCAUUCGACCAAUAUUUAGUGAGGACCUACUAUGUGCCAGGCGCUGUUCUAGGUUCUAGGGGUGCAUCGGUUAAAACAAACAAGUGAAUAAACGGACCAACUCCCCUGCUCCCAGGAGGUGGACAUUCUAGAUACGGGUAGGGAGAGACAAAACCAAACACAUACUAAAUAAAUAAGUACAUCUCCUCAUUUGUUGGAUGGUGUUAACGAAAACAGCAAGUGGAGGAGCGGAAAGGGACGGGGGGGUGCCAGGCUGGGCCAGGGGUAGGACAGGUACAACCUGGGGGCCCGAAAGGCCUCGC